Pelobates fuscus (common spadefoot toad) is the source of this 411-nucleotide long non-coding RNA. RefSeq lists it as uncharacterized. The record is from RefSeq and is a predicted model, not a curated record. NCBI's taxonomy places the organism in Eukaryota, Metazoa, Chordata, Amphibia, Anura, Pelobatidae. The transcript has 2 exons.
UGUUCCUCUGCCUGGCUGGAGAACAUUUUCUCCUGCAGAUGAAUUGUCCUCUUUUUAAGGUCCAGAAACUGCCUCGACUGCAAGCCAGCUCCUGGUAAAGCGCUCAGAUCAUGGGAUGGAGCAAGCAGUUGGACCCUCUCUGUGGGCACAUAACUAGAAGGGAUAAUGUAAAGUGUGAGCAAAAAGUAACAAGACUUUGUCCAAAAACAACACAAAGAAGAAAUGUCAAAGCAUGAGAAAAGGAAAACGUCUAGCAGUGAUUUGGGUGGAUUAAUCCAAGCGGAGACUGCAUCCUGUUUGCAAUAGCCAUCCUAAUUCCCAGCCUUGUAAUUGACAACCGUUGAGAAGAACUCUGGCUGAAGCUGUUACAGUAAAAUGUUUUUGAAUUGUACCAAUAAAAUUCUGCUUUAA